RNAcentral lists this ribosomal RNA (389 nucleotides) under Embryophyta sp. Its description in RNAcentral is "partial small subunit ribosomal RNA". It matches the Rfam family "Eukaryotic small subunit ribosomal RNA", at positions 582 to 975 of the family's 1831-position model. Lineage: Eukaryota; Viridiplantae; Streptophyta. The record is from RNAcentral.
AUUCCAGCUCCAAUAGCGUAUAUUUAAGUUGUUGCAGUUAAAAAGCUCGUAGUUGGAUCUUGGGUCGUAAAGGUCGGUCCGCCUACUCGGUGUGCACCUGCCCUUCCGUCCCUUUUGUCGGCGGCGUGCUCCUGGCCUUAAUUGGCUGGGUCGCGGCUCCGGCGCUGUUACUUUGAAAAAAUUAGAGUGCUCAAAGCAAGCUUAUGCUCUGAAUACAUUAGCAUGGAAUAACGUGAUAGGAGUCUGGUCCUAUUGUGUUGGCCUUCGGGACCGGAGUAAUGAUUAAUAGGGACUGUCGGGGGCAUUCGUAUUUCAUUGUCAGAGGUGAAAUUCUUGGAUUUAUGAAAGACGGACCACUGCGAAAGCAUUUGCCAAGGAUGUUUUCAUCA